CGCGCCCGUUUGGCUUAGGGGUACAGCGUCUCACUCGUAUACAUGCGAAAUGAGAAGAUCCUCGGUUCGAUUCCGAGAAUGGGCAC
This 86-nucleotide transfer RNA is filed under the name Periconia digitata. Its description in RNAcentral is "tRNA-Thr". It matches the Rfam family "tRNA". Rfam says of the family: Transfer RNA (tRNA) molecules are approximately 80 nucleotides in length. Their secondary structure includes four short double-helical elements and three loops (D, anti-codon, and T loops). Further hydrogen bonds mediate the characteristic L-shaped molecular structure. tRNAs have two regions of fundamental functional importance: the anti-codon, which is responsible for specific mRNA codon recognition, and the 3' end, to which the tRNAs corresponding amino acid is attached (by aminoacyl-tRNA synthetases). tRNAs cope with the degeneracy of the genetic code in two manners: having more than one tRNA (with a specific anti-codon) for a particular amino acid; and 'wobble' base-pairing, i.e. permitting non-standard base-pairing at the 3rd anti-codon position. Lineage: Eukaryota; Fungi; Ascomycota; Dothideomycetes; Pleosporales; Periconiaceae. The record is from RNAcentral.